This 429-nucleotide ribosomal RNA is filed under the name uncultured prokaryote. Its description in RNAcentral is "bacterial SSU rRNA". It matches the Rfam family "Archaeal small subunit ribosomal RNA", at positions 26 to 447 of the family's 1478-position model. The record is from RNAcentral.
ACUGCUAUCGGGGUCCGAUUAAGCCAUGCGAGUCAAGGGGCUCCCCUUUUGGGGAGCACCGGCGAACGGCUCAGUAACACGUGGCUAACCUACCCUCGGGUGGGGGAUAACCUCGGGAAACUGAGGCUAAUCCCCCAUAGGGGAGGAGGUCUGGAAUGAUCCCUCCCCGAAAGCCCGUAAGGGCGCCCGAGGAUGGGGCUGCGGCGGAUUAGGUAGUUGGUGGGGUAACGGCCCACCAAGCCUACGAUCCGUACGGGCCCUGAGAGGGGGAGCCCGGAGAUGGACACUGAGACACGGGUCCAGGCCCUACGGGGCGCAGCAGGCGCGAAACCUCCGCAAUGCGCGAAAGCGCGACGGGGGGACCCCGAGUGCCCUCCCUCUGGGAGGGCUUUUCCGGAGUGUAAACAGCUCCGGGAAUAAGGGCUGGGC